Molecule: ribosomal RNA, 2923 nt
Filed under: Lactiplantibacillus plantarum
Lineage: Bacteria; Bacillati; Bacillota; Bacilli; Lactobacillales; Lactobacillaceae
Description: Lactobacillus plantarum 23S ribosomal RNA
Rfam family: Bacterial large subunit ribosomal RNA
Source: RNAcentral
AGGUUAAGUUAACAAGGGCGCAUGGUGAAUGCCUUGGCACUAGGAGCCGAUGAAGGACGGGACUAACACCGAUAUGCUUCGGGGAGCUGUACGUAAGCUAUGAUCCGGAGAUUUCCGAAUGGGGCAACCCAGCAGUUUUAAUCAACUGUUACCACUAGAUGAAUUCAUAGUCUAGUUGGAGGUAAACGCUGUGAACUGAAACAUCUCAUUAGCAGCAGGAAUAUAAAGAAAUUUCGAUUCCCUAAGUAGCGGCGAGCGAACGGGGAACAGCCCAAACCAAAGUGCUUGCACUUUGGGGUUGUAGGACUGAACAUUUGAGUUACCAAAGAACUUGAUAGUCGAAGGAUUUGGGAAAAUCCGCCAUAGAUGGUGAUAGCCCAGUAGAUUAAAUCAAAUUCUCUCAGUUCAGGAUCCUGAGUACGGCGGAACACGUGAAAUUCCGUCGGAAUCCGGGAGGACCAUCUCCCAAGGCUAAAUACUACCUAGUGACCGAUAGUGAACCAGUACCGUGAGGGAAAGGUGAAAAGCACCCCGGGAGGGGAGUGAAAUAGUUCCUGAAACCAUGUGCCUACAAUAAGUCAGAGCGCGUUAAUGCGUGAUGGCGUGCCUUUUGUAGAAUGAACCGGCGAGUUAUGAUCCCGUGCAAGGUUAAGACUAAAAAGUCGGAGCCGUAGCGAAAGCGAGUCUGAAAUGGGCGUUUUGAGUACGAGGUUAUAGACCCGAAACCAGGUGACCUAUCCAUGUCCAGGUUGAAGGUGCGGUAAAACGCACUGGAGGACCGAACCCGUGUAAGUUGAAAAUUGCUGGGAUGAGGUGUGGAUAGCGGUGAAAUUCCAAACGAACUUGGAGAUAGCUGGUUCUCUCCGAAAUAGCUUUAGGGCUAGCCUCGGAAUUAGGAUCAUGGAGGUAGAGCACUAUUUGGACUAGGGGCCCGUCUUGGGUUACUGAAUUCAGAUAAACUCCGAAUGCCAUUGAUUCAUAUCCGGGAGUCAGACGAUGAGUGAUAAGAUCCACCGUCGAAAGGGGAACAGCCCAGACCAUCAGUUAAGGUCCCUAAAUGUAUGCUAAGUGGAAAAGGAUGUGGAGUUGCAUAGACAACUAGGAUGUUGGCUCAGAAGCAGCCACCAUUUAAAGAGUGCGUAAUAGCUCACUAGUCGAGUGAUCCUGCGCCGAAAAUGUACCGGGGCUAAGCAUACUACCGAAACCAUGGAUGCGACCAUUAGGUCGCGUGAUAGGAGAGCGUUCUAAGGGCGGUGAAGCAAGAUCGUGAGGACUUGUGGAGCGCUUAGAAGUGAGAAUGCCGGUAUGAGUAGCGAAAGAUAGGUGAGAAUCCUAUCCACCGAAUGACUAAGGUUUCCUGGGGAAGGCUCGUCCUCCCAGGGUUAGUCGGGACCUAAGUCGAGGCCGAGAGGCGUAGACGAUGGAUAACAGGUUGAGAUUCCUGUACUAGUUAAGUGCGUUUGAGCAAUGGAGGGACGCAGGAGGCUAAGAUGUGCAUUCUGUUGGAUUAGAAUGUCCAAGCAGUAAGUCUUGUGAAGAGUCAAAUGCUUUUCACUUUAAGGACAAGCUGUGAUGGGGAGCGAAAUUUAGUAGCGAAGCGUCUGAUGUCACACUGCCGAGAAAAGCUUCUAGUGAGUACUUAACUACCCGUACCGCAAACCGACACAGGUAGUCGAGGAGAGAAUCCUAAGGUGAGCGAGUGAACUCUCGUUAAGGAACUCGGCAAAAUGACCCCGUAACUUCGGGAGAAGGGGUGCUGAUCGCAAGAUUAGCCGCAGUGAAUAGGCCCAGGCGACUGUUUAUCAAAAACACAGGUCUCUGCAAAAUCGUAAGAUGACGUAUAGGGGCUGACGCCUGCCCGGUGCUGGAAGGUUAAAAGGAUGGGUUAGCUUCGGCGAAGCUCAGAAUUGAAGCCCCAGUAAACGGCGGCCGUAACUAUAACGGUCCUAAGGUAGCGAAAUUCCUUGUCGGGUAAGUUCCGACCCGCACGAAAGGCGUAACGAUCUGGGCACUGUCUCAACGAGAGACUCGGUGAAAUUAUAUUGUCCGUGAAGAUGCGGACUACCCGCGACAGGACGGAAAGACCCCAUGGAGCUUUACUGUAGCUUGAUAUUGAGUGUUUGUACAGCUUGUACAGGAUAGGUAGGAGCCAUAGAAACCGGAACGCUAGUUUCGGUGGAGGCGUUGGUGGGAUACUACCCUCGCUGUAUGACCACUCUAACCCGCACCACUAAUCGUGGUGGGAGACAGUGUCAGGUGGGCAGUUUGACUGGGGCGGUCGCCUCCUAAAAAGUAACGGAGGCGCCCAAAGGUUCCCUCAGAAUGGUUGGAAAUCAUUCGCAGAGUGUAAAGGCACAAGGGAGCUUGACUGCGAGACAGACAGGUCGAGCAGGGACGAAAGUCGGGCUUAGUGAUCCGGUGGUACCGUAUGGAAGGGCCAUCGCUCAACGGAUAAAAGCUACCCUGGGGAUAACAGGCUUAUCUCCCCCAAGAGUCCACAUCGACGGGGAGGUUUGGCACCUCGAUGUCGGCUCAUCGCAUCCUGGGGCUGUAGUCGGUCCCAAGGGUUGGGCUGUUCGCCCAUUAAAGCGGUACGCGAGCUGGGUUCAGAACGUCGUGAGACAGUUCGGUCCCUAUCCGUCGCGGGCGUAGGAAAUUUGAGAGGACCUGUCCUUAGUACGAGAGGACCGGGAUGGACAUACCUCUGGUGUACCAGUUGUGCCGCCAGGCGCAUCGCUGGGUAGCUACGUAUGGAUGUGAUAAACGCUGAAAGCAUCUAAGUGUGAAACACACCUCGAGAUGAGAUUUCCCAUUCCUUUAUGGAAGUAAGACCCCUGAAAGAUGAUCAGGUAGAUAGGUUAGAAGUGGCAGUGCGGUGACGCAUGAAGCGGACUAAUACUAAUCGGUCGAGGACUUAACCAAG